RNAcentral lists this ribosomal RNA (253 nucleotides) under uncultured bacterium. RNAcentral's name for it is "partial 16S ribosomal RNA". It matches the Rfam family "Bacterial small subunit ribosomal RNA", at positions 524 to 776 of the family's 1533-position model. The record is from RNAcentral.
UACGGAGGGGGCUAGCGUUGUUCGGAAUUACUGGGCGUAAAGCGCGCGUAGGCGGACAUUUAAGUCGGGGGUGAAAUCCCGGGGCUCAACCAUAAGGCUAUUAUUCAAACUGGCAAACUCGAGAAUGAGAGAGGUCACUGGAAUUCCUUGUGUAGGAGUGAAAUCCGUAGAUAUAAGGAGGAACACCAAUGGCGUAGGCAGGUGACUGGCUCAUUUCUGACACUGAGGCACGAAAGCGUGGGGAGCGAACGGG